CCUACAGGUGGCAGCAGUGGGGAAUAUUGGACAAUGGGCGAAAGCCUGAUCCAGCCAUGCCGCGUGUGUGAAGAAGGCCUUCGGGUUGUAAAGCACUUUCAGUGGGGAAGAAAGCCUUGGGGCUAAUACCCUCGAGGAAGGACAUCACCCACAGAAGAAGCACCGGCUAACUCCGUGCCAGCAGCCGCGGUAAUACGGAGGGUGCGAGCGUUAAUCGGAAUUACUGGGCGUAAAGCGCGCGUAGGCGGUCUGAUAAGCCGGUUGUGAAAGCCCCGGGCUCAACCUGGGAACGGCAUCCGGAACUGUCAGGCUAGAGUGCAGGAGAGGAAGGUAGAAUUCCCGGUGUAGCGGUGAAAUGCGUAGAGAUCGGGAGGAAUACCAGUGGCGAAGGCGGCCUUCUGGACUGACACUGACGCUGAGGUGCGAAAGCGUGGGUAGCAAACAGGAUUAGAUACCCCUGUAGUC
Molecule: ribosomal RNA, 465 nt
Filed under: Vreelandella stevensii
Lineage: Bacteria; Pseudomonadati; Pseudomonadota; Gammaproteobacteria; Oceanospirillales; Halomonadaceae
Description: partial 16S ribosomal RNA
Rfam family: Bacterial small subunit ribosomal RNA
Source: RNAcentral